GCAAAUGUUUGAAGGAAUGUUUUCAAUUGUUUUUAAAACAAAGGAAUAUUUAUAUAAGGUAUAUUUUAUAUCGAAAAUUUUAAUGAUAAGAAUAAUACCAAAUAUUCACCAAUGACAAUUUGAAAAGAUGAAUCAAAAGAAGAAAGUAAUAUUUUAUUUAAAAAAUGAGUUACCAUCGCCUCCUCCUCUCUCAAUUUUCUCCGUUUGAUAUUAGUAUAAUUUUACACACGGACUAAAAUAUGACGCUUGGACCAAGUCACUGUUGCUUAUUUUAUGCGUGGACGUAAACAACUGUGCGGACAAAAAUCGUUGACGAAGUGUCCCGAAACCGUGAGGCGUGAUAGAUCGAUUAUCGAUAUUUCCUCCAUUUGAAGCUAUGAUAAAGAAUCGAUUAUUAAGGUGUUCGUUGCGGACCCCCUGUUUAUCGAUCAUUUUCAAUAGGUUUAAAUUGAAGAUCAAUCGAUACAGCACGUCACGCCGCUAAUAGCUGCGUAAAUGUUUCUUGAUAUUUUCAUUUAUUAUCUUUUCAGUGAGGUUCUCUCAGCAUAUUAUUGAUUGUUUCAUGUUAUCCUCCCCCCACGACCAGAUCCAUGAAAGUGGAAAAUCAAUGUGGUAAAUUCUAUUCUUAUCAGUCUAACUGAUUUUUGACCCAGUGAUACUACUGGAAGAUACUGCGGUGUCAUAUUUCUUGGAGCGAGCGCACAUUUUACGAGGUAUACUAAUUACUUUGAUUUUUGUCCUUUCUCUCUUUCAAUAAAGAUCCUGACGGUGACCGGGAAGGAGAUUACGAUGGUCGGGAUUGGCAAAUAUACUUGGUGACGAACAUUGUCGGUAAUAACGUGUCACGCGGCGAGAUGAUUUCUGACUACAUUCCACCAUUUGCAUCGUACUGCAAACAAUUUCAUCGAUACAUAUUCCUGGUUUAUCAGCAACCAAAUCACGGUAAAAUCAUAGAAUACUUCGAGAUUCGUUUAACUCUGAUGUAACUUAUUUAAUUUAUCCAUUUCAAUUAUCUCGUUUAUUUCCACAGUUGGAUUUGGUAUUUGACCACUCCCCCCCCCCGCAAUUUACAGUUUAAUGUUCACUUUUUAAGCUGAAAUUCUGAGAUUUUUAGAAAUCUAGUAUGUCCCAUGUUCCUAAUGUUUUGGAUGAAUAUAUAUCCCUUACAUACACUGUUCAAACUCAUAAAAAUUAGUCCCACAGAUAAUCUUUUUCACAAUAAAUGAGGAAAAAACACUACAAUUGUGGCCCAUAUUCUAUAAGGAACAUGGCGGUAGAAAAGUUUUAGGUCCACAAUAUUCUAAGGGAAAGUAGAUACUUCCCGAAGGAUAGUGUGGACACAGCACCAUUCUACCAUCCGGGUAUUAUUUACAAUACGAUACAUGUUUACGCUUUUUAACGUAUUUAAAAACCAUUCGAAUUAAAACCCUUGCAUUCGUCCUGUUUAAAGGAAAUAGGUUUUUUUGAAGCUUUUAUCACUCAUAAUUAGGUUUUUGGUGAAGGAACAGGGAUUUUGACCCAGAAUUUUUUGGAGGCUUCCAAACUUACAGUGUAGAUUCAAUUUUUUGUAUUAUUUUUUUAUUUUAUUUUUUAUUUUUGGUUUAUCAAAGUAGAAUAAA
Molecule: long non-coding RNA, 1619 nt
Filed under: Bemisia tabaci
Lineage: Eukaryota; Metazoa; Arthropoda; Insecta; Hemiptera; Aleyrodidae
Description: lncRNA ENSSSA2NGG012856
Source: RNAcentral